This 253-nucleotide ribosomal RNA is filed under the name uncultured bacterium. Its description in RNAcentral is "partial 16S ribosomal RNA". It matches the Rfam family "Bacterial small subunit ribosomal RNA", at positions 524 to 776 of the family's 1533-position model. The record is from RNAcentral.
UACGAAGGGGGCUAGCGUUGCUCGGAAUCACUGGGCGUAAAGCGCACGUAGGCGGCUUUCUAAGUCAGGGGUGAAAUCCUGGAGCUCAACUCCAGAACUGCCUUUGAUACUGGAGAGCUAGAGUCCGGAAGAGGUGAGUGGAACUGCGAGUGUAGAGGUGAAAUUCGUAGAUAUUCGCAAGAACACCAGUGGCGAAGGCGGCUCACUGGCCCGAUACUGACGCUGAGGUGCGAAAGCGUGGGGAGCAAACAGG